Molecule: long non-coding RNA, 458 nt
Filed under: Vigna radiata
Lineage: Eukaryota; Viridiplantae; Streptophyta; Magnoliopsida; Fabales; Fabaceae
Description: long non-coding RNA (VRAD_LNC003346)
Source: RNAcentral
GAUGACUUGGGUCCAAGCCCAUCAUGGACCCACAAGGAGAAGGGGUAAAACUGUCCAAAUGAAGAAUAAAGUUGCUUGGCGCCACCCCUCAUUCUACUAAGCACACCGUGUCAUUUCUUUCACAUUUAGGCACAUGUAGAACGUGUAGCUUAGGAGUUUNUGGCAUNUUAUGCAUUUGCUGCACAUUUUCAAUGCUUGGACACGUGGGUUGUGAUCCACUUCAUANGGGAUUCAUCUCCACCGCAUACAGCUAGGAGGAUUUACUAUAAAUCCAUCAUAGCACUCUUGUAUAAACACUUUUGGAAUAUUAUGAGAUUUUCUUCUGCUGAUGCAUUUUCCAGCAACUAAAUCUCUGCACCAAGAGUCUCCUCCUGAGCUUUCCCGAUUCCAACUAGCUUCCUUCCGGUGGAAGGCUGCCUGAGCUAGAUCUCACCAUCACCGAGAGCUCCUCUGCCAUC